RNAcentral lists this ribosomal RNA (431 nucleotides) under uncultured archaeon. RNAcentral's name for it is "bacterial SSU rRNA". It matches the Rfam family "Archaeal small subunit ribosomal RNA", at positions 474 to 903 of the family's 1478-position model. The record is from RNAcentral.
UACCAGCUCUCCGAGUGGUGUGGAUGUUUAUUGGGCCUAAAGCAUCCGUAGCUGGCUGGACAAGUCCCCUGUUAAAUCCACCGAUUUAAUCGUUGGUGUGCGGGGGAUACUGUUCGGCUAGGGGACGGGAGAGGCAGACGGUAUUUUCGGGGUAGGGGUGAAAUCCUAUAAUCCCGGGAAGACCACCAGUGGCGAAGGCUGUCUGCUAGAACGCGCCCGACGGUGAGGGAUGAAAGCUGGGGGAGCGAACCGGAUUAGAUACCCGGGUAGUCCCAGCUGUAAACGAUGCAGGCUAGGUGUUUGGACGGCCACGUGCCGUUCUAGUGCCGCAGGGAAGCCGUUAAGCCUGCCGCCUGGGGAGUACGGCCGCAAGGCUGAAACUUAAAGGAAUUGGCGGGGGAGCACCACAAGGCGUGGAAGCUUGGCGGUUC